This 280-nucleotide RNase P RNA is filed under the name Stegastes partitus (bicolor damselfish). RNAcentral describes it as "Nuclear RNase P (ENSSPAG00000004202.1)". It matches the Rfam family "Nuclear RNase P". Rfam says of the family: Ribonuclease P (RNase P) is a ubiquitous endoribonuclease, found in archaea, bacteria and eukarya as well as chloroplasts and mitochondria. Its best characterised activity is the generation of mature 5'-ends of tRNAs by cleaving the 5'-leader elements of precursor-tRNAs. Cellular RNase Ps are ribonucleoproteins. The record is from RNAcentral. Lineage: Eukaryota; Metazoa; Chordata; Actinopteri; Pomacentridae.
UAUGUCUCCACUGUUACGUUUCAGCCAAAUUCGAGCCGUAGGAAAAAUCUGAGGCAAGAGCCAAUAACCACCCCUGCGGGGCAUCACCUGACUCAGGUGAGCGAAUGAACAGAAAAUACAGGUCAGUGGGAGCGUUUGUCACAGGAGAAGCCAGGCGUUUCUCAGCACGUCUGUUGGAUGUGACGCUGAUAUGACUUGGAAUUGCUCGCGGCUGGCAGGUGAGAGCGAUGUAUGAGGUGGGGCACAGCUCCAGAACCCAAUUCAGACUACUUUAUUCAUA